This 420-nucleotide ribosomal RNA is filed under the name Staphylococcus sp. 15B(2010). Its description in RNAcentral is "bacterial SSU rRNA". It matches the Rfam family "Bacterial small subunit ribosomal RNA", at positions 272 to 684 of the family's 1533-position model. The record is from RNAcentral. Lineage: Bacteria; Bacillati; Bacillota; Bacilli; Caryophanales; Staphylococcaceae.
GGCAACGAUGCGUAGCCGACCUGAGAGGGUGAUCGGCCACACUGGAACUGAGACACGGUCCAGACUCCUACGGGAGGCAGCAGUAGGGAAUCUUCCGCAAUGGGCGAAAGCCUGACGGAGCAACGCCGCGUGAGUGAAGAAGGUCUUCGGAUCGUAAAACUCUGUUAUUAGGGAAGAACAAAUGUGUAAGUAACUAUGCACGUCUUGACGGUACCUAAUCAGAAAGCCACGGCUAACUACGUGCCAGCAGCCGCGGUAAUACGUAGGUGGCAAGCGUUAUCCGGAAUUAUUGGGCGUAAAGCGCGCGUAGGCGGUUUUUUAAGUCUGAUGUGAAAGCCCACGGCUCAACCGUGGAGGGUCAUUGGAAACUGGAAAACUUGAGUGCAGAAGAGGAAAGUGGAAUUCCAUGUGUAGCGGUGA